This 474-nucleotide ribosomal RNA is filed under the name uncultured bacterium. Its description in RNAcentral is "bacterial SSU rRNA". It matches the Rfam family "Bacterial small subunit ribosomal RNA", at positions 329 to 793 of the family's 1533-position model. The record is from RNAcentral.
CUACGCACUCCUACGGGAGGCAGCAGUGGGGAAUAUUGCACAAUGGGCGCAAGCCUGAUGCAGCCAUGCCGCGUGUAUGAAGAAGGCCUUCGGGUUGUAAAGUACUUUCAGCAGUGAGGAAGGUGGGUAUGUUAAUAGCAUACUCAUUUGACGUUAGCUGCAGAAGAAGCACCGGCUAACUCCGUGCCAGCAGCCGCGGUAAUACGGAGGGUGCGAGCGUUAAUCGGGAAUUACUGGGCGUAAAAGCGCAUGCAGGUGGUUUGUUAAGUCAGAUGUGAAAGCCCGGGGCUCAACCCUCGGAAUUGCAUUUGAAACUGGCAAACUAGAGUACUGUAGAGGGGGUAGAAUUUCAGGUGUAGCGGUGAAAUGCGUAGAGAUCUGAAGGAAUACCGGUGGCGAAGGCGGCCCCCUGGACAGAUACUGACACUCAGAUGCGAAAGCGUGGGGAGCAAACAGGAUUAGAUACCCUGGUAG